Molecule: ribosomal RNA, 377 nt
Filed under: uncultured bacterium
Lineage: Bacteria
Description: bacterial SSU rRNA
Rfam family: Bacterial small subunit ribosomal RNA
Source: RNAcentral
AUUGAACGCUGGCGGCAGGCUUAACACAUGCAAGUCGAGCGGGGGCUUCGGUCCUAGCGGCGAACGGGUGAGGAAUGCCUGGGAAUCUGCCUGGUAGUGGGGGAUAACGAUUCGAAAGGGUCGCUAAUACCGCAUACGUCCUACGGGAGAAAGCAGGGGACCUUCGGGCCUUGCGCUAUCAGAUGAGCCCAGGUCGGAUUAGCUAGUAGGUGAGGUAAAGGCUCACCUAGGCGACGAUCCGUAGCUGGUCUGAGAGGAUGAUCAGCCACACUGGAACUGAGACACGGUCCAGACUCCUACGGGAGGCAGCAGUGGGGGUAAUAUUGGACAAUGGGACGAAAGCCUGAUCCAGCCGUGCCGCGUGAGUGAAGAAGGCC